RNAcentral lists this ribosomal RNA (991 nucleotides) under uncultured bacterium. Its description in RNAcentral is "bacterial SSU rRNA". It matches the Rfam family "Bacterial small subunit ribosomal RNA", at positions 8 to 996 of the family's 1533-position model. The record is from RNAcentral.
AGAGUUUGAUCAUGGCUCAGAAUGAACGCUGGCGGCGUGCCUUACACAUGCAAGUCGAGCGAGGCGGCCCGCAAGGGUCAGUCGAGCGGCGAACGGGUGAGUAACGCGUGGAUAACCUGCCCAGAGGUGGGGGAUAACCCGGGGAAACUCGGGCUAAUACCGCAUGAUACCGAGAGGUCAAAGGGGGCUCGCAAGGGCUCUCGCCAUUGGAGGGGUCCGCGUCCGAUUAGCUAGUUGGUAGGGUAAUGGCCUACCAAGGCGACGAUCGGUAGCCGGCCUGAGAGGGUGAUCGGCCACACUGGAACUGAGACACGGUCCAGACUCCUACGGGAGGCAGCAGUGGGGAAUUUUGCGCAAUGGGCUAACGCCUGACGCAGCAACGCCGCGUGGAGGAUGAAGGUCUUUGGAUUGUAAACUCCUGUCAGCAGGGAAAAAGCGACUCGGACGAAUAAUCCGGGGAGUUGAUUGUACCUGCAGAGGAAGCCCCGGCUAACUCUGUGCCAGCAGCCGCGGUAAUACAGAGGGGGCAAGCGUUAUUCGGAAUUAUUGGGCGUAAAGGGCGCGUAGGCGGCUUGGCAAGUGGAUGGUGAAAUCCCUCGGCUUAACCGAGGAACUGCCGUCCAAACUGCUUUGCUUGAGGCCGGGAGAGGCGAGUGGAAUUCCCAGUGUAGCGGUGAAAUGCGUAGAUAUUGGGAGGAACACCAGUGGCGAAGGCGGCUCGCUGGACCGGUUCUGACGCUGAUGCGCGAAAGCGUGGGGAGCAAACGGGAUUAGAUACCCCGGUAGUCCACGCUGUAAACGAUGAGUGCUUGGUGUAGCGGGUAUCGACCCCUGCUGUGCCGAAGUCAACACAUUAAGCACUCCGCCUGGGGAGUACGGUCGCAAGGCUGAACUCAAAGGAAUUGACGGGGGCCCGCACAAGCGGUGGAGCAUGUGGUUCAAUUCGAAGCAACGCGAAGAACCCUUACCUGGGUUCGAAAUGCAGUUGUAA